AGGCAGAGUUCAGAAGAAACUUAAAUAGCACCACAUGCUCCCCAUGACAGAUAUAUCUGAAACCUACUCAAAGCCACCUCCCCUUGCCUUUUAAUUCACAAGUUACUGAUGUCUUCAGAAGUGGAAAAAGAAAUUAAGAGAAGAAAGGAAAUAGCUUUUCCUCUGCUUUCUUCGAGAAUAUCACAUAAUGUUUUUGGCUUUGGUUAGAGAUAAUGACAGCUGUAAAUUGAGUUAAUUAGUUAUAUUGUCUAACCAAACGUGGUUAGACAUUUCACAGAAACUGGGUCUUGGGUUGAAGAUUUGAAGGUGUAUCUGCCAAAAGAAAUGCACCAGGGAAAUCUGCAUCUCAAGAAGAGAGUGGCUACAGGUUCCGUUGUCCUGUAUUUUGUCAUCUGCAAGAGAGCACAAAAACAAACUUGCAGCCUGAUACCAGCUGCUUCCCAUGGAAGCCUUUCUUAGAGUACUACAACUCCUAGUUCCUGACCUUGCUGCCAUUUGCUCACAACAUCUCUUUGACACUAGUGUCACAGCUUGCUGAACCCUGAAAUGUCAUUAAAUCUUUGUAUAAUGAUCUCUACAUAUUUUCUACUGAAACUGGACCAUUGCUCAAGAAUGGCAAAAUUCAUGGGGAGGACAAGGAGAGGACAGAGAUGUGCAGUUCAAGCACUUGGCUGGAAGCAGGCGACUGGCUCCUUCUGAUGCAUUAAUUGAUUAAGGCUCUGCCUGCUCUUAAGAAUGGAUGCUUUUAUCCUCAGUUUAUCCAGGGGGAUAUUGAAACAUAUCCAAGUCAAGUAACAAGCUCAAGGUCACAGAAGGGAGGUGAAAGAAACUGGGAAUCAAACCUUCACAUCUGGAUCUGCAGUGCUGCAAUCUCUGUACUCCAUUGUGUUCAUCAUCCUGUGUGUGCAUGCAGGGCUGAAUCCAGCAAGUUUUAGUGAAGCCUUGCAGCGCUAUAUAAUUAAUUUGUUACGAAUGCCUAUAAAUAAAAUAAACUCUGAAAUGAUCUACACUUCUCUGUUGUCAAAAGCAUCCCCAUCUCUCUCAGUCCCUGCUCACUGGCUGCUGACAUUAUUUCUUGGUUAGUGUAUGACAGUUCAGUGCCUUGAGUGUUCCUCUCGCUGUAGGGUUAGUAGGAUAAUUGACAAACCACAGGGACCAGAUCCCUGGAUUAGGAUGACCGGACUGUCAAAACAGCCAUGACAAACUCUCACAUCAACUUCUACUGCAACUCAGGUCUGUGAGGAAAAAAUGCACCUUGGCACGGCCAGAAGGGAAGUCUUUAGUUUAAAUCUUUUCCCACUGCACAAAAAGCUACAGGAGGGGGAGGAGAGAGCAUGGAUCUUUCUGUUUAAUUCAUAGAAAACUCUGUUACAGCAAGUCACAAUUAAUUAGAGUACUUGAGUAAACAUUUUGGGGUCCUAUUGUGUUUGCUUAAUGUGUUUACUGGAAUGCAUGACAGAUGUCACUUCUGUUUCUUAUUAAAGACUGACAAAUGACUGUAUAUUCAGUGCAUGUGAGUACAUAGAGGGAAUGCAACCCUCGCAUGCACACACACACAAAUUGACUCACUUUUGCAAGGUUAAUAUUAGCAUGUAAAAUUUGCGGGCACUAUCUGUGUUAAUUAGCACAGAACCUUUAACAAUUUCAAGUGUUAUUGAAAGUCCACUAUUAUGAUUACUGAAUAAUAUAUUCAGGACAUAUAUGCUGUUUUUACAUUUAAAUGGAAAAAGAAAGAACACUUGAAACAGUAGUCAAAUCACUUGCUUUACUUCUGUCACUUUUAUCAUUUUUCCUAGAUUUUCAGAAAUUCAAUCACACAUCUUUGAAAUGACAGCCAGAGAGGCAUCUGUUUAUAAAAAAGAAAAGUGUUCUCUUUAUGCAAAACUACAUUGCAAAUUGUUUAAAAAUAUGCAAAUACAGAAGAAGGUUAUUUACUUAGUUCUGCCAGCUAACAUAUGGGAUUGGGACACCUAGGAUUUAAAAUCUUUGUUUUGGUUUGGCUUUGUUUGGUUUAUUUUAAAUAUCAGACUUAAAUAUUGUUUUCAGUGCGCUACUUGGUCUUUGGAGUAUGACCAAAAUGGUUCUAUAAAAAUUAAUCUUUUGUUUGUUUUGUGUUUGUGGUUUGUUUCUAAUUGAGAAAUAAUUUAAGAAAGAAAAGUAAAGUUAGAAGAUUCCACAAGUAAUUCUUUACUUAAUGUCACAGAAUGCAAAACAGCAAAAGAGCCACUAUAAUAACAAGGAUGAGAAACUAAAGAUAAAUGUAGGAGGAAUUGACAUUUUCUAAAUGAAAAAUAA
Long non-coding RNA from Anas platyrhynchos (mallard), 2295 nucleotides. RefSeq lists it as uncharacterized. The record is from RefSeq and is a predicted model, not a curated record. NCBI's taxonomy places the organism in Eukaryota, Metazoa, Chordata, Aves, Anseriformes, Anatidae.